RNAcentral lists this transfer RNA (72 nucleotides) under Camelus bactrianus (Bactrian camel). It matches the Rfam family "tRNA". From Rfam's summary of the family: Transfer RNA (tRNA) molecules are approximately 80 nucleotides in length. Their secondary structure includes four short double-helical elements and three loops (D, anti-codon, and T loops). The record is from Rfam by way of RNAcentral. Lineage: Eukaryota; Metazoa; Chordata; Mammalia; Artiodactyla; Camelidae. RNAcentral also lists the same sequence under 2 other names.
GAGAGUAUAGCUCAGUGGUAGAGUAUGUGCUUAGUAUGCAUGAGGUCCUGGGUUCAAUCCCCAGUACCUCCA